AGCCGGGUGGUGUAGCGGCCAAGCAUAGCGGGCUUUGGCCCCGCUGACCCAGGUUCGAAUCCUGGCCCGGCUA
Molecule: transfer RNA, 73 nt
Filed under: Candidatus Bathyarchaeota archaeon
Lineage: Archaea; Thermoproteati; Candidatus Bathyarchaeota
Description: tRNA-Gln
Rfam family: tRNA
About the family: Transfer RNA (tRNA) molecules are approximately 80 nucleotides in length. Their secondary structure includes four short double-helical elements and three loops (D, anti-codon, and T loops).
Source: RNAcentral